GAUGAACGCUGGCGGCGUGCCUAAUACAUGCAAGUCGAGCGAACGGACGAGAAGCUUGCUUCUCUGAUGUUAGCGGCGGACGGGUGAGUAACACGUGGAUAACCUACCUAUAAGACUGGGAUAACUUCGGGAAACCGGAGCUAAUACCGGAUAAUAUUUUGAACCGCAUGGUUCAAAAGUGAAAGACGGUCUUGCUGUCACUUAUAGAUGGAUCCGCGCUGCAUUAGCUAGUUGGUAAGGUAACGGCUUACCAAGGCAACGAUGCAUAGCCGACCUGAGAGGGUGAUCGGCCACACUGGAACUGAGACACGGUCCAGACUCCUACGGGAGGCAGCAGUAGGGAAUCUUCCGCAAUGGGCGAAAGCCUGACGGAGCAACGCCGCGUGAGUGAUGAAGGUCUUCGAUCGUAAAACUCUGUUAUUAGGGAAGAACAUAUGUGUAAGUAACUGUGCACAUCUUGACGGUACCUAAUCAGAAAGCCACGGCUAACUACGUG
Molecule: ribosomal RNA, 496 nt
Filed under: uncultured bacterium
Lineage: Bacteria
Description: partial 16S ribosomal RNA
Rfam family: Bacterial small subunit ribosomal RNA
Source: RNAcentral